UAGGGAAUAUUGGGCAAUGGGCGAAAGCCUGACCCAGCAACGCCGCGUGAAGGAAGAAGGUCUUCGGAUUGUAAACUUCUGUUGUGAGGGAAAAAGGAAGUGAUGGUACCUCACGAGGAAGCUACGGCAAACUAUGUGCCAGCAGCCGCGGUAAUACAUAGGUAGCGAGCGUUAUCCGGAAUAACUGGGCGUAAAGGGAGUGUAGGUGGCCGAAUAAGUUAGAUGUGAAAGACCGUAGCUUAACUACGGAAAUGCAUUUAAUACUGUUUGGCUAGAGUGCAAGAGAGGUAAACGGAAUUUCUAGUGUAGCGGUAGAAUGCGUAGAGAUUAGGAAGAACACCAGAGGCGAAAGCGGUUUACUAGAUUGCAACUGACACUGAGGCUCGAAAGCGUGGGGAGCAAACAGGAUUAGAUACCCUGGUAGU
RNAcentral lists this ribosomal RNA (425 nucleotides) under uncultured Saccharofermentans sp. RNAcentral describes it as "bacterial SSU rRNA". It matches the Rfam family "Bacterial small subunit ribosomal RNA", at positions 355 to 794 of the family's 1533-position model. Lineage: Bacteria; Bacillati; Bacillota; Clostridia; Eubacteriales; Oscillospiraceae. The record is from RNAcentral.